GAUGAACGCUGGCGGUGUGCCUAAUACAUGCAAGUCGAGCGAACGGACGAGAAGCUUGCUUCUCUGAUGUUAGCGGCGGACGGGUGAGUAACACGUGGAUAACCUACCUAUAAGACUGGGAUAACUUCGGGAAACCGGAGCUAAUACCGGAUAAUAUUUUGAACCGCAUGGUUCAAAAGUGAAAGACGGUCUUGCUGUCACUUAUAGAUGGAUCCGCGCUGCAUUAGCUAGUUGGUAAGGUAACGGCUUACCAAGGCAACGAUGCAUAGCCGACCUGAGAGGGUGAUCGGCCACACUGGAACUGAGACACGGUCCAGACUCCUACGGGAGGCAGCAGUAGGGAAUCUUCCGCAAUGGGCGAAAGCCUGACGGAGCAACGCCGCGUGAGUGAUGAAGGUCUUCGGAUCGUAAAACUCUGUUAUUAGGGAAGGACAUAUGUGUAAGUAACUGUGCACAUCUUGACGGUACCUAAUCAGAAAGCCACGGCUAACUACGUGCCAGCAGCCGCGGUAAUACGUAGGUGGCAAGCGUUAUCCGGAAUUAUUGGGCGUAAAGCGCGCGUAGGCGGUUUUUUAAGUCUGAUGUGAAAGCCCACGGCUCAACCGUGGAGGGUCAUUGGUAACUGGAAAACUUGAGUGCAGAAGAGGAAAGUGGAAUUCCAUGUGUAGCGGUGAAAUGCGCAGAGAUAUGGAGGAACACCAGUGGCGAAGGCGACUUUCUGGUCUGUAACUGACGCUGAUGUGCGAAAGCGUGGGGAUCAAACAGGAUUAGAUACCCUGGUAGUCCACGCCGUAAAGAUGAGUGCUAAGUGUUAGGGGGUUUCCGCCCCUUAGUGCUGCAGCUAACGCAUUAAGCACUCCGCCUGGGGAGUACGACCGCAAGGUUGAAACUCAAAGGAAUUGACGGGGACCCGCACAAGCGGUGGAGCAUGUGGUUUAAUUCGAAGCAACGCGAAGAACCUUACCAAAUCUUGACAUCCUUUGACAACUCUAGAGAUAGAGCCUUCCCCUUCGGGGGGGCAAAGUGACAGGUGGUGCAUGGUUGUCGUCAGCUCGUGUCGUGAGAUGUUGGGUUAAGUCCCGCAACGAGCGCAACCCUUAAGCUUAGUUGCCAUCAUUAAGUUGGGCACUCUAAGUUGACUGCCGGUGACAAACCGGAGGAAGGUGGGGAUGACGUCAAAUCAUCAUGCCCCUUAUGAUUUGGGCUACACACGUGCUACAAUGGGCAAUACAAAGGGCAGCGAAACCGCGAGGUCAAGCAAAUCCCAUAAAGUUGUUCUCAGUUCGGAUUGUAGUCUGCAACUCGACUACAUGAAGCUGGAAUCGCUAGUAAUCGUAGAUCAGCAUGCUACGGUGAAUACGUUCCCGGGUCU
This 1372-nucleotide ribosomal RNA is filed under the name uncultured bacterium. RNAcentral describes it as "bacterial SSU rRNA". It matches the Rfam family "Bacterial small subunit ribosomal RNA", at positions 28 to 1381 of the family's 1533-position model. The record is from RNAcentral.